Molecule: ribosomal RNA, 257 nt
Filed under: uncultured bacterium
Lineage: Bacteria
Description: partial 16S ribosomal RNA
Rfam family: Bacterial small subunit ribosomal RNA
Source: RNAcentral
AACGGGGGGGCUGGCGAUAUUCAUCAUGGACUGGGCGUACAGGGCUCGUAGGUGGGUUUACUCAAUUAAAUGUCAAAUGCUGAAAAUUUUUUAAGCAGUUUCUUUAAUAUUGGGUAAUGCUCGAGUGUAAUGGAGGUUUGUGGUAUUCUUGGUGGAGAGGGUAAAAUGCAGCGAUAUCGAUGAAGACUAACAAAGGCGUAGGCAGCGGGCCACAUUAUAUACUGACACUGAGGAUCUAAAGUUUGGUCGCAAACAGG